UUCCCUAAAGCCGCACAUAAAUUUCUUCUUCUUUUCUCUUCUUCACGCUCACAACUCCUGCGCCACUCUCAACCAUUUUUUCUCUCAAACUUCGACUGACACAACCAAAACCCUUAGGGCCACCGCGUCGGCCACCACGUCGGUGGCCAUUCACCACCAUUACAUCUCCUCCCCUCAAGCCCUUCUUCCUUUACUCUUUUCUCUUCUUUCACUUCAUCUAUCGCCUAACCUCUUUCUUUCCUCUUGACCGAGACCCGAAACACACAAAACCGCCGUGAAUCGGCGUUGAACCAACCUUAGGCCACCAACCCAAAAGCUUUAACCCUCUAGGACCACCACUCUGGCCAAGCCCGUGAGGCAGAUCAUACGGACACAGACUGCUGGUAACCUAGAAGAAACCAAUUUUUACAGUGAGGUGGUGCCAUCUUCUCUUAGCGAGAUUGCACCCAUUCUCCGUGCUGAUAAUGAGGUCGAAUCAAGCAACCCCAGGGUGGCUUACCUCUUAUAUGCAAAGGACAUCUGCAAUUUCUCCAAAGAAGAUUGUCUGAAAACGGCAUGAAAAAAGUUAAGAAAACAAAAGAGAGAUCGUUUAUUUCAAGGAAUCAUUUGUCCAAAUUCAUUUAACAAAAACUUUUUAGGAAAUUAAGUAAACCAGACGAUAUGCGAUCACUGUGUCUGAUAGAUUACUUCAGGUUUGGACAGAUGCAAAACUUUAGGCUCUACACAUUGUGACGUAGGUUACUUUUAAUAGUCGAAACCUCAACAAAACAUUACUCUAAAAUUAGAAGAUCAUUCGUGUAUUUUACCCAAAUAUUAAUAGACAAAAUAUAAUCGUAUAUGAAUUGGAUUAGACGUGCAAAAAAGGUAUGUAUCACGAGCAGGGA
Molecule: long non-coding RNA, 884 nt
Organism: Hibiscus syriacus
Lineage: Eukaryota; Viridiplantae; Streptophyta; Magnoliopsida; Malvales; Malvaceae
Exons: 3
Source: RefSeq, a predicted model, not a curated record